GGGCUUUUGAAGAAUGUGCAGAAUGUGGAAGUGCUACACCCCUGAGAACAGAAAUGUUUGGCUCCUUGCCUAAGGAUAGAGGCAGAUAUCACAGGAGCCAGGGGUGUCUGUGACCCCUACAUCCAGCACUAAUGACUAUGAGGUCAUAUACCAAAUGAAGAUGUAAAGAAAGCUAAAAGAGGACAUGCUAAGGAAAAGAAUUUAGAAAAUGGUACAGUGAUGCCUUAUACUCACUACAGGUCAACAGAGAGUAUGAAUUACACAGACAAAUGUGGUCAAAUAUUUGAUGGAAAUUUCAUGUAUAGCUCAGUAAUGGUGGAAAUGCUAAAACAGCAAUAGCAACGACUUGCAGAAUGAUCCCUAUUUCUGUAUAUAACAUACUUGAAUACUAACGAUUUCAAAAUCGAAGAUUCCUCAGAAACCAUUUGCCAUACAGAAGAAAUUGAGGCUGAAAAAUUUUAUCAGUUCCAUUUAUGAUAAAGUGAUUGAGAAUAAAACCCAAGAAUGAUAUGUAUAAAGAACUUUGGUUCAAAGAUGACA
Long non-coding RNA from Pteropus alecto (black flying fox), 540 nucleotides. RefSeq lists it as uncharacterized. Lineage: Eukaryota; Metazoa; Chordata; Mammalia; Chiroptera; Pteropodidae. The transcript has 3 exons. The record is from RefSeq and is a predicted model, not a curated record.